CGCACGAAGGGUUUCGGCCUUAGUGGCGGACGGGUGAGUAACGCGUAGGUAUCUAUCCAUGGGUGGGGGAUAACACUGGGAAACUGGUGCUAAUACCGCAUGACACCUGAGGGUCAAAGGCGUAAGUCGCCUGUGGAGGAGCCUGCGUUUGAUUAGCUAGUUGGUGGGGUAAAGGCCUACCAAGGCGAUGAUCAAUAGCUGGUUUGAGAGGAUGAUCAGCCACACUGGGACUGAGACACGGCCCAGACUCCUACGGGAGGCAGCAGUGGGGAAUAUUGGACAAUGGGGGCAACCCUGAUCCAGCAAUGCCGCGUGUGUGAAGAAGGUCUUCGGAUUGUAAAGCACUUUCGACGGGGACGAUGAUGACGGUACCCGUAGAAGAAGCCCCGGCUAACUUCGUGCCAGCAGCCGCGGUAAUACGAAGGGGGCUAGCGUUGCUCGGAAUGACUGGGCGUAAAGGGCGUGUAGGCGGUUUGUACAGUCAGAUGUGAAAUCCCCGGGCUUAACCUGGGAGCUGCAUUUGAUACGUGCAGACUAGAGUGUGAGAGAGGGUUGUGGAAUUCCCAGUGUAGAGGUGAAAUUCGUAGAUAUUGGGAAGAACACCGGUGGCGAAGGCGGCAACCUGGCUCAUUACUGACGCUGAGGCGCGAAAGCGUGGGGAGCAAACAGGAUUAGAUACCCUGGUAGUCCACGCUGUAAACGAUGUGUGCUAGAUGUUGGGUGACUUAGUCAUUCAGUGUCGCAGUUAACGCGUUAAGCACACCGCCUGGGGAGUACGGCCGCAAGGUUGAAACUCAAA
Molecule: ribosomal RNA, 799 nt
Filed under: Acetobacter pomorum
Lineage: Bacteria; Pseudomonadati; Pseudomonadota; Alphaproteobacteria; Acetobacterales; Acetobacteraceae
Also listed under: 1 other name
Description: bacterial SSU rRNA
Rfam family: Bacterial small subunit ribosomal RNA
Source: RNAcentral